Molecule: ribosomal RNA, 497 nt
Filed under: uncultured bacterium
Lineage: Bacteria
Description: partial 16S ribosomal RNA
Rfam family: Bacterial small subunit ribosomal RNA
Source: RNAcentral
GAUGAACGCUGGCGGCGUGCCUAAUACAUGCAAGUCGAGCGAACAGACGAGGAGCUUGCUCCUCUGACGUUAGCGGCGGACGGGUGAGUAACACGUGGAUAACCUACCUAUAAGACUGGGAUAACUUCGGGAAACCGGAGCUAAUACCGGAUAAUAUAUUGAACCGCAUGGUUCAAUAGUGAAAGACGGUUUUGCUGUCACUUAUAGAUGGAUCCGCGCCGCAUUAGCUAGUUGGUAAGGUAACGGCUUACCACGGCAACGAUGCGUAGCCGACCUGAGAGGGGGAUCGGCCACACUGGAACUGAGACACGGUCCAGACUCCUACGGGAGGCAGCAGUAGGGAAUCUUCCGCAAUGGGCGAAAGCUUGACGGAGCAACGCCGCGUGAGUGAUGAAGGUCUUCGGAUCGUAAAACUCUGUUAUUAGGGAAGAACAAAUGUGUAAGUAACUAUGCACGUCUUGACGGUACCUAAUCAGAAAGCCACGGCUAACUACGUG